GAUGAACGCUGGCGGCGUGCCUAACACAUGCAAGUCGAACGAACCUAAUCUUCGGAAAGGGUUAGUGGCGCACGGGUGAGUAACACGUAGGUGACCUGCCCCGAAGUGGGGGAUAACUUCUCGAAAGAGAAGCUAAUACCGCAUAUGCUCAGCCAUUCAGUUGGUUGAGUAAAGCUCCGGCGCUUCGGGAGGGGCCUGCGUCCGAUUAGCUAGUUGGUGGGGUAAUGGCCUACCAAGGCGAUGAUCGGUAGCUGGUCUGAGAGGACGAUCAGCCACACUGGCACUGACACACGGGCCAGACUCCUACGGGAGGCAGCAGUGAGGAAUAUUGGUCAAUGGGCGAAAGCCUGAACCAGCAACGCCGCGUGAGGGAUGAAGGCCUUCGGGUCGUAAACCUCUUUUCUGGGAGAAGAGA
RNAcentral lists this ribosomal RNA (415 nucleotides) under uncultured bacterium. Its description in RNAcentral is "bacterial SSU rRNA". It matches the Rfam family "Bacterial small subunit ribosomal RNA", at positions 28 to 450 of the family's 1533-position model. The record is from RNAcentral. RNAcentral also lists the same sequence under 1 other name.